RNAcentral lists this unclassified non-coding RNA (194 nucleotides) under Agrobacterium tumefaciens. The record is from RNAcentral. Lineage: Bacteria; Pseudomonadati; Pseudomonadota; Alphaproteobacteria; Hyphomicrobiales; Rhizobiaceae.
UGUUUUGCCGAACACUUCAAUAUGUCUUUUGAUCGGUUUGUAAGGGACUUCCCACACAGACCUUUAGGUCGUCGCCAACAGUUUGGCGCGCCGUCCGCAGCGCAGCGAUCGUCAGAUCGCGACAGCGUGAGGACAAAAGACACCCGGUCUGUCCGGGUUGAAGGGUUCAGCGAAAGAGGUUUCUAGAUAUCGCA